This 3370-nucleotide long non-coding RNA is filed under the name Trifolium pratense (red clover). RNAcentral's name for it is "long non-coding RNA (TPRA_LNC000409)". Lineage: Eukaryota; Viridiplantae; Streptophyta; Magnoliopsida; Fabales; Fabaceae. The record is from RNAcentral.
AGUAUUGCAUUUUUUUACAGGAAAUAAUGUUUCUUGCGCUUUUCAAUCCGACAUGAGCUCACACAUGACACUUGCCACGACUGUUUUCUGUAGCUUGGUUGGUUGUCAAACUGUGGAGUAAUGUUUGACCUCCAAGUGGAGACUGACUUGGUUGGUGGGUUAGGGCACAAUGGCACAUGUAUUCUACUAACCUAAGAAGGUCUUCCCCUAAUACAAGUUUGAUUUGGUUAGAAUCCUAAUUUUAAGAACUAUAGCCAUUUCCUCUCUUUCAGACUUCACCCAAAUUUGUAACCGAAAAAUAAAAACUUCACUCAGUUCCUCUCUUCUCGGCAGCAAACCCAAUAUUCUUUUGCGGAUUGUUAAACUUUUAGUUGGUUUCCUACUUGGUUAGAUUAUUUAAUUAGCACCCAACAGCCUUAAUCUCCAUAGACACGCAUCACAGAGCUUUGUUUCAUCGGUGCAUACCCGCUCCAAGGUAGACUUACAGGUGAAUUCCUAUAUGAACUAGCUCUAGUGCACACCCAGAAGAAAAAUAUAGUCAGAUCAAGAUUGCUUGCAUGCAAAAUUGACUUUAGAAAUUAAUUUACCGAACAAAUUGGCCAAAAGGUUUUCCCCUACUGGGGUAUUAACUACCAACCAAUGUUUUUGGGUCUGUCAGUAAGUCCCAAUAAGCUCAAACAAAAGCUCUAAUAUUACUACAUCAUUAUUUAAACGUUUAUCAUAUAAGUGCAUGUAAAAGCUAUUUCUUUAACAAAAGAUAAAAUAAAUUCACUGUUUUCUUAUAAGAUAUAAGCUGUUUCUAUAAACUAUCAUGGAGAGCUUAUGAAAGUAAGCUAAAACUUAUGACAUAUCAUAAACUAUUUCCAUAUGCUCUCCCAAACAGUCUCACAAGUACAUAUGUCAGUAGAUAAACUCAAAUAAUUAAAUCCAAACAGACACUAAUUCUAACUGCAAUAUGUUCUAAUGAAUCCAGUCCUAGAUUUAUAGAGUAAUAGACUCAUAGUUACAAAAACUCUUGUGUUUUCAUGAAUCCCUUGUUGAAAUGUAAUCAAUUAACUAAUCAUAUCUGCAACAUGUUGCAAUGUAUAUGAGCGUACAGGGAUUAUUGAAGACAGAUAUUAGUUUGAAUAUUCGGACUUUUUUUUAUGAUAAGGUCUUUCUAUAUACUUGUGCAGGGUGGAAUGAAAAAAGGAUGGCAUUGAUCAAAACCAAUCAGAAUGGAAGCAACGUUUCCAUGAAAUGCUACUUGACAGACAAACUGCAUCUCUGCAUACUAUACUUCUUUAGCCUCCUUAUUAUGAUACUUGAAUUUGGAAGAAAGCUUGUAUGGAGCUUUAAGCCAGUUCGAAUUGGAACUUCCGCCACAUACAUUGAAAGUCCAUAAACCCCUUCUUUUUUAAUAGGUAAACUAUGAGUAUAUUUUUUAUGAAGUUAAUUACUCUGUACUAAACAGAGUAAGUUUUUUCAUACAAAUAUUCAAUCAUAUUUCACUCUUGAUAAUAUAUAAUUUAUUUUAAUCAUUUAGCUUAUUGCAGGUGGGUAAUAUAUAAUUUAGCAAACCCUCAAGUGGAAGAUUUUGACUCUGUUUUCUCAUGGCGUUAAGCUUGGGGUUAAGCUAGAAGAGGCUCGUGUAUAAGGCAAUUUUUUUCUCAUAGGAAACCAAGAUUUCUCCCAAAGGGAUGAGUUAUGAAUCCAACAUAACCCUUAUUGACAUGAUGAAUGUAUAGCCAAUACAUCAAAGGGAUAGAGAAGAGGGUGAAUGGUCCACUUUUCUUUGAUACACUAUGUAAUAAUAUAAUGUUGUACAUUAGUCAGAUUAUUUUAAACUUAUACAAAUUCUGCUCCAUACCACAUGAUGAAUGUCAUGAUUCAUGACCACAGAAAUAGAAUAUGUGUACCUUGUUUUUAACAUAUUUGAGCAUAUAGAUUCACUCUAGUUUUUAAAUAUUAAUUUAUAAAAAAUUGUCAAUCAAAUCACUUGAAAAAACACUUUAACUGGUGAUACUACAUAAAUUCCUAAAUGUGGGGAUGGAGAGUAAAAAGACACCACAAUGUUACCGAAUUACAGAACUGAAAACAUUCUUGGGCACCUUAGUAAAACCCUCGUUUUAAUUUUCAUGAAAUAUGUUGAUGAAAACUACCAUUGAAACACCAACAUUUUGGCAAUAGAAUGACUUAACUUAUACCAAAAAUUAAAAUACAAUGACUUAACAAUUAAUCAAUAAUAUACACCAGAUAUGUUAGCAAUGUAUUUUUGGCAAAUGCUGCAAGACAGUUGAAUAUAGCCUAAAAAAAAGACAGUUGAAUUUUUUUUAUUUUUUUUAGAUAAUCAAAGACAGUUGAAUACAAAUGACGUACAUGGUUUUAUUAUUUCUAUGCUAUGUUUGAGAUGGAUUAGAUAGUGACAAGGAAAUAAUAUAAAAAAAAUAAAAAAAUAAUGUGAAAAAUGUUUCCAAAUAAUAGUGAUGUGCUAUCAAACUAAAUUGUAAAAUUUAUGUAAGAUAAAAAAAUAAUAUAAAAAUUUAUGAUAUACAAUUUUUGUAAUCAAAGAAAUUUAUGAUAUACAAUUUCUAAUAGUGACAAAGAAAUAAUAUAAAAAACAAUAAAGAAAUGUAUGAUAUACAAUUUUAUUUGUUGGUAACGGUAUGAUAUUACAAUUACAACAACCUUAAAACUGAAAAACAAACCAUGCAAGAUCUUAAUUUUCAGAUUUGGUUUUGGGAUGUCAAAUUGGGAUCACAAAAUGUUAGCUGAAAGUAAAAAUUGGAACCUCCAUUUCACGUUAACAAAAACAUAGUAGCAAACAAAAAUUGCUGAAAAUCAUUAUGGACUUCACUUGCUUGUUUUUUCAUUUGCAUGUCUCAAAAUUACUACAAAUCUUAAUGGAAUAAAACAUGGAUCUUAACGUGUACUAAUGAGUAAUGACAUUAAUUGAUAUAAACACCUAAAACGUGAAAGGGAAACAUAAAUUAAAAGCUUGAGCAUGUAAAUGAUGAAAAGGCAACAACAUAUAUCCAUAGCAACAAAGAAUGAACAAGGUAAAUAAAAGCAGAAACAAUGAAGAAUCAAAGUUAUAUAUAUUUUACUUGUGUGACAAAGUCCUAACUAUAGUUUCUCAUUUCCUAUACCUUUGUAAUUAUACAUACAUGUAUUUCAAAGAUGGAUGAAAAAAAUAAUUAUGAAGCUAUGCCUUUGUAAUUAUACAUACAUGUAUUUCAAAGAUUUUAUUCAUUCAUUCAUCCGAAAGAGUGCAAGUAAACGUACCUGGGUACCUGGUACUUGGUUUGGUUUCAUGGUUGAUGAGAAUACUCAUGCAUGUUGGGUUGGAGAGCUUUGGAAAAAUGCAAGUUCAGAAGACACAACACAAUUA